GGAAUAUUGCGCAAUGGGCGAAAGCCUGACGCAGCGACGCCGCGUGAGGGAUGAAGGUCUUCGGAUUGUAAACCUCUUUCAGCAGGGACGAAGCGAAAGUGACGGUACCUGAAGAAGAAGCACCGGCUAACUACGUGCCAGCAGCCGCGGUAAUACGUAGGGUGCAAGCGUUGUCCGGAUUUAUUGGGCGUAAAGAGCUCGUAGGCGGUUAGACACGUCGGAUGUGAAAACUGGGGGCUCAACCCCCAGCCUGCAUUCGAUACGGUCUGACUAGAGUGUGGUAGGGGUAACUGGAAUUCCUGGUGUAGCGGUGAAAUGCGCAGAUAUCAGGAGGAACACCGAUGGCGAAGGCAGGUUACUGGGCCACCACUGACGCUGAGGAGCGAAAGCGUAGGGAGCAAACAGGAUUAGAUACCCUGGUAGUCCACGCCGUAAACGGUGGGCGCUAGAUGUGGGGACCAUUCCAUGGUUUCUGCGUCGCAGCUAACGCAUUAAGCGCCCCGCCUGGGGAGUACGGUCGCAAGACUAAAACUCAAAGGAAUUGACGG
This 548-nucleotide ribosomal RNA is filed under the name uncultured bacterium. Its description in RNAcentral is "bacterial SSU rRNA". It matches the Rfam family "Bacterial small subunit ribosomal RNA", at positions 358 to 916 of the family's 1533-position model. The record is from RNAcentral.